AAACUUAGGAUAACCAAAACCGAAAGCCUUCAAAGCUCUAAACAGAAGUGAAACCCUUCUAGUUUC
This 66-nucleotide transfer RNA is filed under the name Callulops wilhelmanus (Wilhelm callulops Frog). RNAcentral's name for it is "tRNA-Trp". Lineage: Eukaryota; Metazoa; Chordata; Amphibia; Anura; Microhylidae. The record is from RNAcentral.